Long non-coding RNA from Monodelphis domestica (gray short-tailed opossum), 983 nucleotides. RefSeq lists it as uncharacterized. The record is from RefSeq and is a predicted model, not a curated record. NCBI's taxonomy places the organism in Eukaryota, Metazoa, Chordata, Mammalia, Didelphimorphia, Didelphidae.
CCUGUCACCUCACUUUCAUUUGAUGUAACAUGCUACAAAAAUGGAGGACACACACAAAUAUGUCUUAGAAAGAAAAGCAAAAUAUCCAAAUUGUUAUUCUGUACGCAAUAAAGGACAUCCCACUUCAUCUAAAUCUAAACAUAAAAAACAACUCAAGGAUGGCAGAGAGUGUACAAAAAGCUCAAAAUCUCUCCCAAAGGAUGGAGCCAGAGCUCAGCCAAGCUCACGAAGAGGACAUUCUCCAAGUAAAAGGAGGAGCAAAAGUCAACCCAGACAUAAGGAAGUUCGUACAAAGCCACAUCAAUCCAUUUCUAAGUGCCCUCCUUCCAAGGAUUUGAAAAGAAGUUUAGAAACUCAGAAAUCUCUUAUUAUGCAAAUGUCCAACAUGGAAUCCUCUAAAAAGUCUUCAUCUGACCAUCCCAAAAUGAUCUCUACUGCACUUUCCAGUCUCCACUAAUGACCUGUUACCAUCAUGUAUACUUUAAUUGUUUGUCAUUACUGUGAUCUGUUUGUUUUUAGCCAUACCCUAUCCUGAUUCCUUGAUGAAUUCCCACUACAUGCCACCAACUUAUUGGACUAGAUCUCGGAGCUCACAAUCCAUGGACGUUUCCUCCCCAAUAUCCGGACCCAACAUCUUCCAUCUUUCUCCAUCUAAUGGACAUCCAUUGUCAGAACUACAUUUUGAAGCUUUUAUGACUAGCCUGAAAGUUGGUGAACCCCACCCCCACCUUCCAGAAUCCAAUUUCAUCACCAAGAUGAGACACCAGAGCAGGAUGUUAGUUGGAGGACACCUUCAGGAUAAUGGACAGCAAGAGGAGGAAGCACUAUUUCAUCCAUAUUUCCCUGCUUUCUUCUCAGUUCAAACCCAGUUUUGGUGGUUCAUUUGAUAUCAGACAAUUAUCCUGAAAAGCCUGACCUCUGAUUUCUUUGCUAUUUUUUCUCACUCUGUUACAUCUAAUAAACCCUCAGCCUUUUCCCCAAUA